CCUACGGGGGGCUGCAGUGGGGAAUAUUGCGCAAUGGGGGGAACCCUGACGCAGCAACGCCGCGUGAGUGAAGAAGGUUUUCGGAUCGUAAAGCUCUGUCAUUGGGGACGAAAAGAUGACGGUACCCAAGGAGGAAGCCCCGGCUAACUACGUGCCAGCAGCCGCGGUAAUACGUAGGGGGCGAGCGUUGUCCGGAAUUACUGGGCGUAAAGGGUGCGUAGGCGGCUUCAGAAGUCAGGUGUGAAAUACCGUGGCUCAACUACGGGGGUGCAUUUGAAACUUUGAAGCUUGAGUGCAGGAGAGGAAAGUGGAAUUCCUAGUGUAGCGGUGAAAUGCGUAGAGAUUAGGAGGAACACCAGUGGCGAAGGCGACUUUCUGGACUGUAACUGACGCUGAUGCACGAAAGCGUGGGUAGCGAACAGGAUUAGAUACCCCGGUAGUC
This 442-nucleotide ribosomal RNA is filed under the name uncultured Eubacteriales bacterium. RNAcentral's name for it is "bacterial SSU rRNA". It matches the Rfam family "Bacterial small subunit ribosomal RNA", at positions 338 to 795 of the family's 1533-position model. Lineage: Bacteria; Bacillati; Bacillota; Clostridia; Eubacteriales. The record is from RNAcentral.